GAUGAACGCUGGCGGCGUGCCUAAUACAUGCAAGUCGAGCGAACGGACGAGAAGCUUGCUUCUCUGAUGUUAGCGGCGGACGGGUGAGUAACACGUGGAUAACCUACCUAUAAGACUGGGAUAACUUCGGGAAACCGGAGCUAAUACCGGAUGAUAUUUUGAACCGCAUGGUUCAAAAGUGAAAGACGGUCUUGCUGUCACUUAUAGAUGGAUCCGCGCUGCAUUAGCUAGUUGGUAAGGUAACGGCUUACCAAGGCAACGAUGCAUAGCCGACCUGAGAGGGGGAUCGGCCACACUGGAACUGAGACACGGUCCAGACUCCUACGGGAGGCAGCAGUAGGGAAUCUUCCGCAAUGGGCGAAAGCCUGACGGAGCAACGCCGCGUGAGUGAUGAAGGUCUUCGGAUCGUAAAACUCUGUUAUUAGGGAAGAACAUAUGUGUAAGUAACUGUGCACAUCUGGACGGUACCUAAUCAGAAAGCCACGGCUAACUACGU
RNAcentral lists this ribosomal RNA (496 nucleotides) under uncultured bacterium. RNAcentral's name for it is "partial 16S ribosomal RNA". It matches the Rfam family "Bacterial small subunit ribosomal RNA", at positions 28 to 506 of the family's 1533-position model. The record is from RNAcentral.